UGUCCACUGAACCUUAUCAUUUAGAGGAAGGAGAAGUCGUAACAAAGUUUUCGUAGGUGAACCUGCGGAAGGAUCAUUGUCGAACCUGCACAGUAGAACGACCCGAGAACCAGUUUCAACGUCGAGGGCCGGCGGACCUUCGGGCUCGAYGUCCCCUUAUCCCGGGAGCCUACUCCCGGGUGUACAAACGAACACCGRUGCAUUUUGCGCCAAGGAACCUGAACGAAAGAUCGCGUUCUUGUCGUCUUGGAAACGGUGCGCGUGCGGGCGCGUCGUCGUCUUCGAUAUGUCAAAACGACUAUCGACUCUCGCAUCGAUGAAGAACGUAGCGAAAUGCGAUACUUGGUGUGAAUUGCAGACUCUCGUGAACCAUCGAGUCUUUGAACGCAAGUUACGCCCGAAGCCUUUAGGCCGAGGGCACGCCUGCCUGGGUGUUACACGYCGUUGCCUCCCCUGUGCCUCCCUCKGGAGCGUCCGGGUGGGGCGGAUGAUGGCCUCAGUUGCGACACCCCGCGCGGUUGGCACAAAUGCCGAGUCCUUGGCGACGAAUGCCACGACAAUCGAUGGUUGUCAAACCUCGGUUGCCCGUUGUGCGCCUUYAUCGCGCUUCGAACUGCUCGCGACGCUCGCUGCUCUGCUUCGGCAGAGCUUUCAACGCGACC
Molecule: unclassified non-coding RNA, 662 nt
Filed under: Weniomeles bodinieri
Lineage: Eukaryota; Viridiplantae; Streptophyta; Magnoliopsida; Rosales; Rosaceae
Description: Stranvaesia bodinieri partial contains small subunit ribosomal RNA, internal transcribed spacer 1, 5.8S ribosomal RNA, internal transcribed spacer 2, and large subunit ribosomal RNA
Source: RNAcentral